GUUCCAACGCAGCGAGAACGAGCGCGCCUCCUCCCGCCUGAAGGUUAACGCGGAGCUCGUUCCACGUCACGCGCGGAGCCGCAGUCUGGUCGCGCUUAUUCCGAAUGCGGGACGCAGCCUGAACUCUCUCGCUCUCUCUCUCUCUCUCCCCCUCUCUCCCCCCCGCCGUCCCUCGCGUCGCCUCCUCGCCGUCUUUGCGCCGAACCAGCUCGCGGCAGCAGAGACUGUCCGCGGGGAGAGACAGCCGAGGAGACAGCGCUCUCUCUCUCUCUCUCUCUCUCCGCUGCGUCGCGAGGAAUUGUGGGAAGAAGGUUCCUGCUAUAAAUUAUGAAUGAGUUACAAAUGGACGCUCGGCGCGCGACGCUUACUUUGACCCCCCCUAAAAGCGCGUGCGCGCUGCUUUACUCGGCACAUAAGCUCCAAGCCGCAGAGCCUCGCGUCGCGAAACCACCUCGCGUCUGCUUUAACGGAGAAUAGCGCACGUUUACGUAAACGUACGACUUUCGCGCACGCGCAGAGUGCUGAAUCCUCAAGCGGCCAUCUUUGAUGGGCCGAUCGGUGACGCGCCCUGUUGGUUUAGGGCUGGCGGCGCAUCUCUCAGCCUCGUAGCAUCUCUGGUUGCUGCUGCAGGCAAAAUCCCAGAUCAUCAUCAUGGCGCCCGGCGUAGCAUCUGCUGUGCGGAGGGGGGGGGGGUCAGUGUUGUGAAUGGAAACUGCGGGCUGUCUGUCACUCAGCUGCUGACGUCGGGCGGAGAGGACAUGUCUUCUGCAGAAGUGGGACAACAGCGACUGCUGUCCCUUUGAAUGCACCCACGCACCGGUGUGGUCUGCAUCACCAACGAGUCCUGGUGGCCGUUGCAGUGGGACACAUUCACACAUUCUCCAGACAACACAUGCCCGCCAUGUGCGCGGGUAUCCACACCAGUCUGGCUCCGCACAGCUGAUCUUCUGCCCCUUGGGCCGUGCUCAUUGGUCGUCACGCUUCUGCUAUGCACAGAUUCGUACACGAGGAUGAAUCCUGCCGGACGCUUUUGAGAGACUACCAGUGACGUUAUGAAGCACUGCAGUAAACAGUGACACUGUCAACCAUCAGCCCCAGUGUGUCGCUCUGACCGGCGUCCCAUCCUUGUGAGGGCUUAUCGCCAAUCAAAGUACAUCUAUUAAUGGCUAACGGCCUGCAGCCGGAUGGGGGGUGGAAGCCGGGUGUCUGCGCUGCACACAGCACGCCGACUUAAGAGGCUUCUCUCUGCAGGAGAAACGCACAAACACACACAAGUGUUU
Gasterosteus aculeatus aculeatus (three-spined stickleback) is the source of this 1280-nucleotide long non-coding RNA. NCBI's taxonomy places the organism in Eukaryota, Metazoa, Chordata, Actinopteri, Perciformes, Gasterosteidae. The record is from Ensembl.